CCAGACUCCUACGGGAGGCAGCAGUGAGGAAUAUUGGUCAAUGGCCGCAGGGCUGAACCAGCCAAGUCGCGUGAGGGAUGACGGUCCUAUGGAUUGUAAACCUCUUUUGUCAGGGAGCAAAGGGCGCCACGUGUGGCGUUUUGCGAGUACCUGAAGAAAAAGCAUCGGCUAACUCCGUGCCAGCAGCCGCGGUAAUACGGAGGAUGCGAGCGUUAUCCGGAUUUAUUGGGUUUAAAGGGUGCGCAGGCGGUCUGUUAAGUCGGCGGUCAAAGCCCGGGGCUCAACCCCGGUCCGCCGUUGAAACUGGCAGUCUCGAGUUGGAGAGAAGUAUGCGGAAUGCGCGGUGUAGCGGUGAAAUGCAUAGAUAUUGCGCAGAACUCCGAUUGCGAAGGCAGCAUACCGGCGGCGAUCUGGUGCUGAGGCACGAAAGCGUGGGUAUCGAACAGGAUUAGAUACCCCCGUAC
RNAcentral lists this ribosomal RNA (464 nucleotides) under uncultured bacterium. RNAcentral describes it as "bacterial SSU rRNA". It matches the Rfam family "Bacterial small subunit ribosomal RNA", at positions 331 to 793 of the family's 1533-position model. The record is from RNAcentral.